GACGAACGCUGGCGGCGUGCUUAACACAUGCAAGUCGAACGGAAAGGCCCUGCUUUUGUGGGGUGCUCGAGUGGCGAACGAGUGAGUAACACGUGAGUAACCUGCCCUUGACUUUGGGAUAACUUCAGGAAACUGGGGCUAAUACCGGAUAGGAGCUCCUGCUGCAUGGUGGGGGUUGGAAAGUUUCGGCGGUUGGGGAUGGACUCGCGGCUUAUCAGCUUGUUGGUGGGGUAGUGGCUUACCAAGGCUUUGACGGGUAGCCGGCCUGAGAGGGUGACCGGCCACAUUGGGACUGAGAUACGGCCCAGACACCUACGGGAGGCAGCAGUGGGGAAUAUUGCACAACGGGCGGAAGCCUGAUGCAGCAACGCCGCGUGCGGGAUGACGGCCUUCGGGUUGUAAACCGCUUUCGCCUGUGACGAAGCGUGAGUGACGGUAAUGGGUAAAGAAGCACCGGCUAACUACGUG
Molecule: ribosomal RNA, 468 nt
Filed under: uncultured bacterium
Lineage: Bacteria
Description: partial 16S ribosomal RNA
Rfam family: Bacterial small subunit ribosomal RNA
Source: RNAcentral